UACGGCGAGUGAAGCGGGAAGAGCUCAAAUUUGAAAUCUGGUAGCCUUCGGUUGCCCGAGUUGUAAUCUAGAGAAGUGUUUUCCGCGUUGGCCCAUGUACAAGUCCCUUGGAACAGGGCGUCAUAGAGGGUGAGAAUCCCGUCCUUGACAUGGACCCCCAAUGCUUUGUGAUACACUUUCAACGAGUCGAGUUGUUUGGGAAUGCAGCUCAAAAUGGGUGGUGAAUUCCAUCUAAAGCUAAAUAUUGGCGAGAGACCGAUAGCGAACAAGUACCGUGAGGGAAAGAUGAAAAGCACUUUGGAAAGAGAGUUAAACAGUACGUGAAAUUGUUGAAAGGGAAACGAUUGAAGUCAGUCAUGCUCUUUGGAUUAAGCCGUUCUGCGGUGUAUUUCAUUGAGCGGGGUCAACAUCAGUUUUGAUCGCUGGAAAAGGGCAGGAGGAAGGUAGCACUCUCGGGUGAACUUAUAGCCUCUUGUCGUAUACAGUGAUUGGGACUGAGGAACGCAGCAUGCCUUUUGGCCGGGAUUCGUCCACGUACAUGCUUAGGAUGUUGACAUAAUGGCUUUAAACGACCCGUCUUGAAACACGGACC
RNAcentral lists this ribosomal RNA (592 nucleotides) under Naganishia vaughanmartiniae. Its description in RNAcentral is "eukaryotic LSU rRNA". It matches the Rfam family "Eukaryotic large subunit ribosomal RNA", at positions 85 to 667 of the family's 3401-position model. Lineage: Eukaryota; Fungi; Basidiomycota; Tremellomycetes; Filobasidiales; Filobasidiaceae. The record is from RNAcentral.